Molecule: ribosomal RNA, 162 nt
Filed under: Cenolophium denudatum
Lineage: Eukaryota; Viridiplantae; Streptophyta; Magnoliopsida; Apiales; Apiaceae
Description: 5.8S ribosomal RNA
Rfam family: 5.8S ribosomal RNA
About the family: 5.8S ribosomal RNA (5.8S rRNA) is a component of the large subunit of the eukaryotic ribosome. It is transcribed by RNA polymerase I as part of the 45S precursor that also contains 18S and 28S rRNA.
Source: RNAcentral
AACGACUCUCGGCAACGGAUAUCUCGGCUCUCGCAUCGAUGAAGAACGUAGCGAAAUGCGAUACUUGGUGUGAAUUGCAGAAUCCCGUGAACCAUCGAGUCUUUGAACGCAAGUUGCGCCCGAAGCCACUAGGCCCAGGGCACGUCUGCCUGGGUGUCACGC